RNAcentral lists this ribosomal RNA (468 nucleotides) under uncultured bacterium. RNAcentral's name for it is "partial 16S ribosomal RNA". It matches the Rfam family "Bacterial small subunit ribosomal RNA", at positions 28 to 507 of the family's 1533-position model. The record is from RNAcentral.
GACGAACGCUGGCGGCGUGCUUAACACAUGCAAGUCGAACGGAAAGGCCCUGCUUUUGUGGGGUGCUCGAGUGGCGAACGGGUGAGUAACACGUGAGUAACCUGCCCUUGACUUUGGGAUAACUUCAGGAAACUGGGGCUAAUACCGGAUAGGAGCUCCUGCUGCAUGGUGGGGGUUGGAAAGUUUCGGCGGUUGGGGAUGGACUCGCGGCUUAUCAGCUUGUUGGUGGGGUAGUGGCUUACCAAGGCUUUGACGGGUAGCCGGCCUGAGAGGGUGACCGGCCCCAUUGGGACUGAGAUACGGCCCAGACUCCUACGGGAGGCAGCAGGUGGGAAUAUUGCACAAUGGGCGGAAGCCUGAUGCAGCAACGCCGCGUGCGGGAUGACGGCCUUCGGGUUGUAAACCGCUUUCGCCUGUGACGAAGCGUGAGUGACGGUAAUGGGUAAAGAAGCACCGGCUAACUACGUG